UACGUAGGUGGCAAGCGUUGUCCGGAAUUAUUGGGCGUAAAGAGCUCGUAGGCGGUUUGUCGCGUCUGCUGUGAAAACUCAGGGCUUAACCCUGAGCCUGCAGUGGGUACGGGCAGACUAGAGUGUGGUAGGGGAGAUCGGAAUUCCCGGUGUAGUGGUGAAAUGCGUAGAUAUCUGGAGGAACACCGGUGGCGAAGGCGGCAUCCUGGACCAAUACUGACACUGAGGAGCGAAAGCCAGGGGAGCAAACGGG
This 253-nucleotide ribosomal RNA is filed under the name uncultured bacterium. Its description in RNAcentral is "partial 16S ribosomal RNA". It matches the Rfam family "Bacterial small subunit ribosomal RNA", at positions 524 to 776 of the family's 1533-position model. The record is from RNAcentral.